CCUGGAUUGACCCUUUUUUUGGAAUAUUUUACCAUUUUUUUAUUUCUUGUGUCAGGGUGGUAUUUCAGCCAUGCUGUACACGGACUGCAGUGACGUGUAAAAAAACAAAAACAGUGUUAAGAGAAAAGGAUAACAAAAAAUA
Molecule: long non-coding RNA, 142 nt
Organism: Penaeus chinensis
Lineage: Eukaryota; Metazoa; Arthropoda; Malacostraca; Decapoda; Penaeidae
Exons: 2
Source: RefSeq, a predicted model, not a curated record